This 490-nucleotide ribosomal RNA is filed under the name uncultured bacterium. Its description in RNAcentral is "partial 16S ribosomal RNA". It matches the Rfam family "Bacterial small subunit ribosomal RNA", at positions 29 to 507 of the family's 1533-position model. The record is from RNAcentral.
AGUGAACGCUGGCGGUAGGCCUAACACAUGCAAGUCGAACGGCAGCACAGGAGAGCUUGCUCUCUGGGUGGCGAGUGGCGGACGGGUGAGGAAUACAUCUGAAUCUACCUUUUCGUGGGGGAUAACGUAGGGAAACUUACGCUAAUACCGCAUACGACCUACGGGUGAAAGUGGGGGACCGCAAGGCCUCACGCGAUUAGAUGAGCCGAUGUCCGAUUAGCUAGUUGGCGGGGUAAUGGCCCACCAAGGCGACGAUCGGUAGCUGGUCUGAGAGGAUGAUCAGCCACACUGGAACUGAGACACGGUCCAGACUCCUACGGGAGGCAGCAGUGGGGAAUAUUGGACAAUGGGCGCAAGCCUGAUCCAGCCAUACCGCGUGGGUGAAGAAGGCCUUCGGGUUGUAAAGCCCUUUUGUUGGGAAAGAAAUCCUGUCGAUUAAUACUCGGUGGGGAUGACGGUACCCAAAGAAUAAGCACCGGCUAACUUCGUG